Molecule: ribosomal RNA, 521 nt
Filed under: uncultured bacterium
Lineage: Bacteria
Description: bacterial SSU rRNA
Rfam family: Bacterial small subunit ribosomal RNA
Source: RNAcentral
AAUAGAUACCCGGGUAGUCCACGCCGUAAACGAUGAGUGCUAAGUGUUAGAGGGUUUCCGCCCUUUAGUGCUGCAGCUAACGCAUUAAGCACUCCGCCUGGGGAGUACGGUCGCAAGACUGAAACUCAAAGGAAUUGACGGGGGCCCACACAAGCGGUGGAGCAUGUGGUUUAAUUCGAAGCAACGCGAAGAACCUUACCAGGUCUUGACAUCCUCUGACAACUCUAGAGAUAGAGCGUUCCCCUUCGGGGGACAGAGUGACAGGUGGUGCAUGGUUGUCGUCAGCUCGUGUCGUGAGAUGUUGGGUUAAGUCCCGCAACGAGCGCAACCCUUGAUCUUAGUUGCCAGCAUUAAGUUGGGCACUCUAAGGUGACUGCCGGUGACAAACCGGAGGAAGGUGGGGAUGACGUCAAAUCAUCAUGCCCCUUAUGACCUGGGCUACACACGUGCUACAAUGGAUGGUACAAAGGGCUGCAAGCCGCGAGGUCAAGCCAAUCCCAUAAAACCAUUCUCAGUUCGGA